This 489-nucleotide ribosomal RNA is filed under the name uncultured Campylobacterota bacterium. RNAcentral describes it as "bacterial LSU rRNA". It matches the Rfam family "Bacterial large subunit ribosomal RNA", at positions 1128 to 1610 of the family's 2925-position model. Lineage: Bacteria; Pseudomonadati; Campylobacterota. The record is from RNAcentral.
GAAAGCGUAACAGCUCACUGAUCUAGCGAUUCUGCGCUGAAAAUAUAACGGGGCUAAGAUACGCACCGAAGCUUUAGAUUCGUAUUUAUACGAGUGGUAGGAGAGCGUUCCAAACAGCGUUGAAGGUAUACCGGUGAGGAGUGCUGGAGCGUUUGGAAGUGAGCAAGCAGGCAUGAGUAGCGAUAAAAGCAGUGAGAAUCUGCUUCGCCGUAAACCCAAGGUUUCCUACGCGAUGCUCGUCAUCGUAGGGUUAGUCGGGACCUAAGUCGAGUCCGAAAGGGGUAGACGAUGGCAAAUCGGUUAAUAUUCCGAUACCGACAAUUGUUCGUUUGAGUGAUGGGGGGACGCAUAGAGUUAAUCGAGCUCACUGAUGGAAUAGUGGGUCGAAGGACGUAGGCUGAAACACAGGCAAAUCCGUGUUUCGUUAGGCCGAGAUCUUACAGGCUCUUCAAGGACUUCGGUCUGCGAGGAGAAUCGAUGAUACUGUCG